This 210-nucleotide ribosomal RNA is filed under the name Microdochium sp. RNAcentral describes it as "partial large subunit ribosomal RNA". Lineage: Eukaryota; Fungi; Ascomycota; Sordariomycetes; Xylariales; Microdochiaceae. The record is from RNAcentral.
AAGGGCUUAUGACCAGACCUUUGCAUUGGGAAUCAUCCGGUGUUCUCACCGGUGCACUUCCCUUUGUUGAGGCCAGCAUCAGUUCUAGUUGGGGGAUAAAGACUUAAGGAAUGUGAUUCCUCCGGGAAUGUUAUAGCCUUCUGUGUAAUACCCUGACCGGGACUGAGGACCGCGCUUCGGCUAGGAUGCUGGCAUAAUGGUCAUCAGCCA